This 425-nucleotide ribosomal RNA is filed under the name uncultured Oscillospiraceae bacterium. RNAcentral describes it as "bacterial SSU rRNA". It matches the Rfam family "Bacterial small subunit ribosomal RNA", at positions 355 to 794 of the family's 1533-position model. The record is from RNAcentral. Lineage: Bacteria; Bacillati; Bacillota; Clostridia; Eubacteriales; Oscillospiraceae.
UGGGGAAUAUUGGGCAAUGGGCGAAAGCCUGACCCAGCAACGCCGCGUGAAGGAAGAAGGUUUUCGGAUUGUAAACUUCUUUUAUCAGGGACGAAGAAAGUGACGGUACCUGAUGAAUAAGCCACGGCUAACUACGUGCCAGCAGCCGCGGUAAUACGUAGGUGGCAAGCGUUAUCCGGAUUUACUGGGUGUAAAGGGCGUGUAGCCGGGAGGGCAAGUCAGAUGUGAAAUCCACGGGCUUAACUCGUGAACUGCAUUUGAAACUGUUCUUCUUGAGUAUCGGAGAGGCAAUCGGAAUUCCUAGUGUAGCGGUGAAAUGCGUAGAUAUUAGGAGGAACACCAGUGGCGAAGGCGGAUUGCUGGACGACAACUGACGGUGAGGCGCGAAAGCGUGGGGAGCAAACAGGAUUAGAUACCCUGGUAGU